ACGGAAUAGAUACCCCGGUAGUCCACGCCCUAAACGAUGUCAACUGGUUGUUGGGAAUUCAUUUUCUCAGUAAACGAAAGCUAAACGCGUGAAAGUUGACCGCCUGGGGAGUACGGCCGCAAGGCUAAAACUCAAAGGAAUUGACGGGGACCCGCACAAGCGGUGGAUGAUGUGGUUUAAUUCGAUGCAACGCGAAAAACCUUACCCACCUUUGACAUGUACGGAACUUGCCAGAGAUGGCUUGGUGCCCGAAAGGGAGCCGUAACACAGGUGCUGCAUGGCUGUCGUCAGCUCGUGUCGUGAGAUGUUGGGUUAAGUCCCGCAACGAGCGCAACCCUUGCCAUUAGUUGCUACGAAAGGGCACUCUAAUGGGACUGCCGGUGACAAACCGGAGGAAGGUGGGGAUGACGUCAAGUCCUCAUGGCCCUUAUAGGUGGGGCUACACACGUCAUACAAUGGCUGGUACAGAGGGUUGCCAACCCGCGAGGGGGAGCUAAUCCCACAAAGCCAGUCGUAGUCCGGAUCGCAGUCUGCAACUCGACUGCGUGAAGUC
RNAcentral lists this ribosomal RNA (553 nucleotides) under uncultured bacterium. RNAcentral describes it as "bacterial SSU rRNA". It matches the Rfam family "Bacterial small subunit ribosomal RNA", at positions 772 to 1327 of the family's 1533-position model. The record is from RNAcentral.